CCUACGGGAGGCAGCAGUGAGGAAUAUUGGUCAAUGGACGAGAGUCUGAACCAGCCAAGUAGCGUGAAGGAUGACUGCCCUAUGGGUUGUAAACUUCUUUUAUAAAGGAAUAAAACGAGGCACGUGUGCCUUUUUGCAUGUACUUUAUGAAUAAGAAUCGGCUAACUCCGUGCCAGCAGCCGCGGUAAUACGGAGGAUCCGAGCGUUAUCCGGAUUGAUUGGGUUUAAAGGGAGCGUAGAUGGGUUGUUAAGUCAGUUGUGAAAGUUUGCGGCUCAACCGUAAAAUUGCAAUUGAUACUGGCAGGCGUGAGUACAGUUGAGGUAGGCGUAAUUCGUGGUGUAGCGGUGAAGUGCUCAGAUAUCACGAAGAACCCCGAUUGCGAAGGCAGCUUACUAAACUGUGACUGACAUUGAUGCUCGAAAGUGUGGGUAUCAAACAGGAUUAGAUACCCCAGUAGUC
Molecule: ribosomal RNA, 460 nt
Filed under: uncultured bacterium
Lineage: Bacteria
Description: partial 16S ribosomal RNA
Rfam family: Bacterial small subunit ribosomal RNA
Source: RNAcentral